UACGUAGGGACCGAGCGUUGUCCGGAAUCAUUGGGCGUAAAGAGCGUGUAGGCGGCCACUUAAGUCCUGCGUGAAAUCCUGCGGCUCAACCGCAGGCGGUCGUGGGAAACUGUGUGACUUGAGUACGGAAGAGGAGAGUGGAAUUCCCGGUGUAAUGGUGAAAUGCGUAGAUAUCGGGAGGAACACCAGUGGCGAAGGCGACUACCUGGCCUGUUCUUGACGCUGAGGCGCGAAAGCUAGGGGAGCAAACGGG
RNAcentral lists this ribosomal RNA (253 nucleotides) under uncultured bacterium. Its description in RNAcentral is "partial 16S ribosomal RNA". It matches the Rfam family "Bacterial small subunit ribosomal RNA", at positions 524 to 776 of the family's 1533-position model. The record is from RNAcentral.